Long non-coding RNA from Triticum aestivum (bread wheat), 644 nucleotides. RefSeq lists it as uncharacterized. The record is from RefSeq and is a predicted model, not a curated record. The transcript is spliced from 3 exons. NCBI's taxonomy places the organism in Eukaryota, Viridiplantae, Streptophyta, Magnoliopsida, Poales, Poaceae.
GUCCUCCUGACCGGAAAUUAGUUUUGUUUUCCUUCGUCGGUCCCCUGGCGUCCACAUCUCCCCCUCCUCACUUGCUCCCCUGCUGCUGAGAGUGAGAAAAACCCUCGCUCCUUCCUUUCCCUCCUCUCCUCGUCCUCGUCGGCAUCGCCCGCUGUCAUUCGCGGAGGCGGAGGCCCUCGUUGUCGCGCUACCACAUAACCGGCCGCCGACGAUUAGACAGUACCAAGCUCAUGCUCUCCUGCCUGUCAUGAUGAUCUGUGGGUCCAGGAAAGAGGCAACAUGGUUAUGCACAGCUAGGUGAUUGUCGUGAGGGGCAAGGGAUGAGUAUGUUUUGCCGAUGGAUUCUGUUGCCACAGACGAGAAAGACUGAGCAUGAGGACGGCGUGGGAUUGCCGGAGCGUCUGGAAUUGGCAUUUCAGAGUUUCUUUUGGUUUUUACUUCAUCCUAAUUUUGCAGAGUCUGGAUGUAUGCUCAUUGUGUUUAUAUCCUUUUGAUGCUUUAUUUUGAGUUAAAUUCACCAUUUGUCAGAAAACAACAAAUGGAGGAGAAGAAAAGGAGAAACAUAUGAACUUGCAGAGCUUACAAAACAUAUGUGGACAUUUAAUCUUUACGAAGAAUGAAAGACUAGCUCAUUAAAAAGAGAU